AAGGGUAGAGCUCAGUGGUAGAGUGUAUGCUUAGCAUGCAUGAGGUCCUGGGUUCAAUUCUUAGUACCUCCA
RNAcentral lists this transfer RNA (72 nucleotides) under Camelus bactrianus (Bactrian camel). It matches the Rfam family "tRNA". Rfam says of the family: Transfer RNA (tRNA) molecules are approximately 80 nucleotides in length. Their secondary structure includes four short double-helical elements and three loops (D, anti-codon, and T loops). Further hydrogen bonds mediate the characteristic L-shaped molecular structure. tRNAs have two regions of fundamental functional importance: the anti-codon, which is responsible for specific mRNA codon recognition, and the 3' end, to which the tRNAs corresponding amino acid is attached (by aminoacyl-tRNA synthetases). tRNAs cope with the degeneracy of the genetic code in two manners: having more than one tRNA (with a specific anti-codon) for a particular amino acid; and 'wobble' base-pairing, i.e. permitting non-standard base-pairing at the 3rd anti-codon position. RNAcentral also lists the same sequence under 2 other names. The record is from Rfam by way of RNAcentral. Lineage: Eukaryota; Metazoa; Chordata; Mammalia; Artiodactyla; Camelidae.